AAAUUUAACAGAGAUUAUCAAAAGUCUUUUUUAAUUUUGUUUUUAAGCAAUUAAAGCUGCUUCUUUUAACUCUCACUUUUAUAGCUUCCCCCUUAAACCCACAUUUUUAAACCCCCUACUUAAUAAUCUCUGAUUUUUUAACUAAAAGUUACAACAUAGAAAAACAAUUCUAAAUUUAAAUUAUAUUAUGCAUAAAUUAAAGAUUAGUACAUAAGAAUUAGCAUUUCAAGGGACAUCACUUCAAAUAUAGAUUGAAACAAUUUCACAUUUUAAAAAUUUACAUUCUAGUACAAUAAAAUAGAACAAACACACUGGUUACUAGACUAGUUAGUACAAUGAGACGUCAUUUGAUCUAAAGUUACUGAAAUCCAUUAUUAUUUGC
This 382-nucleotide long non-coding RNA is filed under the name Mytilus galloprovincialis (Mediterranean mussel). Lineage: Eukaryota; Metazoa; Mollusca; Bivalvia; Mytilida; Mytilidae. The record is from RNAcentral.